GAGAGAACUUAUUGGCCUUUUGC
RNAcentral lists this non-coding RNA (23 nucleotides) under Arabidopsis thaliana (thale cress). Lineage: Eukaryota; Viridiplantae; Streptophyta; Magnoliopsida; Brassicales; Brassicaceae. The record is from RNAcentral.